UUCUCCUCACCUGGGGGUCAUCACACAGUUCGUGAUCGGUUCUUCAUUUAUUUGCAUAUUCAUCGGGUGGCGCAAUGGAAUGACUGCAUGAGGAACGCUCCCGGUGGAAUGGCGGACGACGGAGCAGGCGGCAUAAUGAAAAGCCAUAGAAGAGAUAGAGAGAGGGACACUGUGCAAUUUUCUCUGUUUCUCCCACGCUCGCGCGAAAGGCAACAAAAUGCAAACAUUUGAAGAAACAAGAAGGGGGCAGAAAAAGAGUGAGAAGCAAUUGUGGCGAUGAUCACAUCACAGCUGAUGAAACU
Caenorhabditis elegans is the source of this 302-nucleotide non-coding RNA. NCBI's taxonomy places the organism in Eukaryota, Metazoa, Nematoda, Chromadorea, Rhabditida, Rhabditidae. The record is from Ensembl.